UACGUAGGAUGCAAGCGUUGUCCGGAAUUAUUGGGCGUAAAGAGAACGUAGGUGGCUUGUUAAGUUCGGUCUUAAAGACCGGGGCUCAACCCCGGGAAUGGAUUGAAGACUGGCAGGCUAGAGGAUGUCAGAGGAUGGUGGAAUUCCCAGUGUAGCGGUGAAAUGCGUAGAUAUUGGGAGGAACACCUGUGGCGAAAGCGGCCAUCUGGGGCAUUCCUGACACUGAGGUUCGAAAGCUCGGGGAGCAAACAGGAUUAGAACCGUACCG
This 268-nucleotide ribosomal RNA is filed under the name uncultured bacterium. Its description in RNAcentral is "partial 16S ribosomal RNA". It matches the Rfam family "Bacterial small subunit ribosomal RNA", at positions 524 to 788 of the family's 1533-position model. The record is from RNAcentral.